GCGUGAAUAGCUCAGUUGGUAGAGCACAACCUUGCCAAGGUUGGGGUCGCGGGUUCGAGCCCCGUUUCACGCUCCA
This 76-nucleotide transfer RNA is filed under the name Psittacicella hinzii. Its description in RNAcentral is "Bisgaard taxon 44 str. 111 tRNA-Gly". It matches the Rfam family "tRNA". Rfam says of the family: Transfer RNA (tRNA) molecules are approximately 80 nucleotides in length. Their secondary structure includes four short double-helical elements and three loops (D, anti-codon, and T loops). Lineage: Bacteria; Pseudomonadati; Pseudomonadota; Gammaproteobacteria; Pasteurellales; Psittacicellaceae. The record is from RNAcentral.